This 497-nucleotide ribosomal RNA is filed under the name uncultured bacterium. RNAcentral's name for it is "partial 16S ribosomal RNA". It matches the Rfam family "Bacterial small subunit ribosomal RNA", at positions 28 to 507 of the family's 1533-position model. The record is from RNAcentral.
GAUGAACGCUGGCGGCGUGCCUAAUACAUGCAAGUCGAGCGAACGGACGAGAAGCUUGCUUCUCUGAUGUUAGCGGCGGACGGGUGAGUAACACGUGGAUAACCUACCUAUAAGACUGGGAUAACUUCGGGAAACCGGAGCUAAUACCGGAUAAUAUUUUGAACCGCAUGGUUCAAAAGUGAAAGACGGUCUUGCUGUCACUUAUAGAUGGAUCCGCGCUGCAUUAGCUAGUUGGUAAGGUAACGGCUUACCAAGGCAACGAUGCAUAACCGACCUGAGAGGGUGCUCGGCCACCCGGGAACUGAGACACGGUCCAGACUCCUACGGGAGGCAGCAGUAGGGAAUCUUCCGCGAUGGGCGAAAGCCUGACGGAGCAACGCCGCGGGAGUGAUGAAGGUCUUCGGAUCGUAAAACUCUGUUAUUAGGGAAGAACAUAUGUGUAAGUAACUGUGCACAUCUUGACGGUACCUAAUCAGAAAGCCACGGCUAACUACGUG